UUUUGGGAAGGUGUUUGGGAAGAUUCUCCCUUUUCUUGCCCUGAUGAAGAUGGCAAUUCAAGCGAGAGAUAUUCAAUUUCCUUUUGGAGUCUGUGGAGUCUUGCAAUUUUUUGAAGGUGAAGGUCUUCUUCAAUUAUAUUCUUGAUUUCUUGGAAUUUGUCAGGUUCAACUGUUUGUUGGCUAGCAAGCCAUUUUUGGAUUUGGUUUUGUUCUUCAUUUUCUUCGACGGCUUCCACCCAAGAUCGGA
This 247-nucleotide long non-coding RNA is filed under the name Cicer arietinum (chickpea). RNAcentral's name for it is "long non-coding RNA (CARI_LNC001951)". Lineage: Eukaryota; Viridiplantae; Streptophyta; Magnoliopsida; Fabales; Fabaceae. The record is from RNAcentral.